Molecule: ribosomal RNA, 336 nt
Filed under: uncultured bacterium
Lineage: Bacteria
Description: partial 16S ribosomal RNA
Rfam family: Bacterial small subunit ribosomal RNA
Source: RNAcentral
CCUACGGGAGGCAGCAGUGGGGAAUAUUGGGCAAUGGGCGCAAGCCUGACCCAGCAACGCCGCGUGAAGGAAGAAGGCUUUCGGGUUGUAAACUUCUUUUAAGAGGGAAGAGCAGAAGACGGUAUCUCUUGAAUAAGCCACGGCUAACUAUGUGCCAGCAGCCGCGGUAAUACGUAGGUGGCAAGCGUUGUCCGGAUUUAGGGGGUGUAAAGGGCGGGCAGCGGGGAAGAAAAGUCAGAUGUGAAAUCCCGCGGCUCAACCGCGGAACUGCAUUUGAAACUGUUUUUCUUGAGUACCGGAGAGGUCGUCGGCAUUCCUUUUGUAGCGGUGACAUGC